GAAAUGCGAUAAGUAAUGCGAAUUGCAGAAUUCAGUGAAUCAUCGAAUCUUUGAACGCACAUUGCGCCCGCUAGUAUUCUGGCGGGCAUGCCUGUCUGAGCGUCAUUUCAACCCUCAUUCCCGGCUUCGUGUCGGGGAUGGUGUUGGGGAUCGGCCUCCCGGUUGCGGGCGGCCGGCCCCGAAAUAGAGUGGCGACCACGCCGUAGCCUCCUCUGCGUAGUAGUGAAAACCUCGCAGGCGGAGAGCGGUGCGGCCUGCCGUAAAACCCCAAACUCUUCUAAGGUUGACCUCAGAUCAGGUAGGAAUACCCGCUGAACUUAAGC
Molecule: unclassified non-coding RNA, 323 nt
Filed under: plant metagenome
Description: partial contains 5.8S ribosomal RNA, internal transcribed spacer 2, and large subunit ribosomal RNA
Rfam family: 5.8S ribosomal RNA (bases 1-105)
Source: RNAcentral